AUGGAAGGUCAGAUAUGUCCGUUCAACCACCGCCAACCGAGGUCGUUCAACGACGCGCCGGGCAAAGAAUAUCAAGUAAAUAAGCAACUUCGACAUGCCAAUGGGACCUUUUUAUUAAGGGCUUUGACUACGACUGAUGGAAGUUGGUAUUCUGUGACGUUGCGCUCAGCGGCAGGAGGGCGAGGAUCUCUUCUUCUCGGCAGUACAACUGCACCCUCCGGCGCCGUUCACGAGAAGAGCUACGUGCAGGCCACCUGUGCUCCACCCUGGAUUUUUUCAAUAAUCAGGUCGUCGUCGUCAGGGUUCCUGCCCCACGGCAGUCAUACUGGCUCAUGCGCCACUGUCGUCGGUCCUUUUUCGGUUGGAGAUAGGUAG
RNAcentral lists this ribosomal RNA (375 nucleotides) under Triticum aestivum (bread wheat). RNAcentral describes it as "partial small subunit ribosomal RNA". Lineage: Eukaryota; Viridiplantae; Streptophyta; Magnoliopsida; Poales; Poaceae. The record is from RNAcentral.